Molecule: ribosomal RNA, 496 nt
Filed under: uncultured bacterium
Lineage: Bacteria
Description: partial 16S ribosomal RNA
Rfam family: Bacterial small subunit ribosomal RNA
Source: RNAcentral
AUUGAACGCUGGCGGAAUGCUUUACACAUGCAAGUCGAACGGUAGAGGGGGCAACCCCUCGAGAGUGGCGAACGGGUGAGUAAUAUAUCGGAACGUGCCCAGUCGUGGGGGAUAACGUAGCGAAAGUUACGCUAAUACCGCAUACGAUCUAAGGAUGAAAGCGGGGGAUCGCAAGACCUCGCGCGAUUGGAGCGGCCGAUAUCAGAUUAGGUAGUUGGUGGGGUAAAGGCUCACCAAGACAACGAUCUGUAGCUGGUCUGAGAGGACGACCAGCCACACUGGAACUGAGACUCGGUCCAGACUCCUACGGGAGGCAGCAGUGGUGAAUUUUGGACAAUGGACGCAAGUCUGAUCCAGCCAUUCCGCGUGCAGGAUGAAGGCCCUCGGGUUGUAAACUGCUUUUGUACGGAACGAAAAGGUCUCUCUUAAUACGGGGGGCUCAUGACGGUACCGUAAGAAUAAGCACCGGCUAACUACGUGCCAGCAGCCGCAGUAA